Non-coding RNA from Ceratobasidium sp. AG-Ba, 97 nucleotides. The record is from the annotation of a GenBank genome assembly. Lineage: Eukaryota; Fungi; Basidiomycota; Agaricomycetes; Cantharellales; Ceratobasidiaceae.
UCCCGCUUAGCUCAGUGGUAGAGCGCGUCACUAGUAGUCCUGCUUACGUCAUCAUUACGUAAUGACGAGGUCAGUCGUUCAAGUCGGCUAGUGGGAA